GCAUAAAACGAAUCUCACGGAUGGCGCCUUGGUUUGAUCAGUAGAAAUUGUUGCUAUUAUUGUGUAAUAGUCUGCAUUCCCUGCAAGCGAACGGUAAACGCAAUACUUCUAAAUCCCGAGGCGUUUAAAAGGAACCGAAGACGACUGUAGGAGAAGUUUAAAAGCGAGCGUAUGGGACUAUUACCGCGACUCACCGACGCCUAGCAAUUUUGUGUGGAGAUCACUUUUUAUAAGGAAUGUUAGAGUGGAUUUCCUUUGCAAAACAGAACUGAACUGACUGGUACUGGGAUUCUCUAAAGGAUUAUGUGUGUCAUUCUUUGGAAGCAUACUGUAGAAGUAACUGAAGUCUGAAAUGUCAGGAUCUACUGAACCAUCACA
Molecule: long non-coding RNA, 378 nt
Organism: Clupea harengus (Atlantic herring)
Lineage: Eukaryota; Metazoa; Chordata; Actinopteri; Clupeiformes; Clupeidae
Exons: 3
Source: RefSeq, a predicted model, not a curated record